GGCAGUUCUUGGGUGACACACCCUGGAACCAGAGAGGAGGAAGCCCGACUCCGGGGUGUGUCACCCAAGAACCCCC
Myotis davidii is the source of this 76-nucleotide non-coding RNA. The record is from Rfam. NCBI's taxonomy places the organism in Eukaryota, Metazoa, Chordata, Mammalia, Chiroptera, Vespertilionidae.